AUUUGGUUUUCUUUUUCUUUAUCUAGACUCUUUAACGCCAUGGUUUUCUGAGCUCUCGAGUAGAGUCUGCAUUUAUUUACAUCGACUAUUUUUAUCUGAGCAUAUCAAUCCUAAGUGUAGUUCAACAUUACACGAAUAUCAUCAUCUUGGCAAAUAAAAAAUGAAAAACUAAAAAAAAAAGAAGAAUAUUUGGGUUCUUAAAAACGCUGAGCCAGGCCUGGCAUCCAUCCAAUAUGCUGAUGCCAUUGGGGCAUUCUGCUGUGUAGUUGGCUUCAUGUCCUUGUAAACUAUGUUCAUCCUGUUCACUACCCAUGUAGCCACCAUUUAUAAUCUGAUGUAGCUUUUUCUGUCCCUCUGUUACGUGAAAGGCAGAGGCACACACACAGGAAAAAUGUAAAAUCUAUAAUUAAGGGUCUGUUAUUGCCUCCUGUUCUUAUUCAUAAAUAAAAUACGCAUGAUAGAACUGGUGUUUUAUGCAGUAUUAGAUAUUUCAUGUGUAGGACUUGUUUUUCCAAAUUUAUUGAAUGGAUAAUUCAGUUUUUCCUGGUGAUCCGUAAGUGCAUUCCAUUCUUUCUGCUUACCUUCUUCUAGUGAAUGUGAUUGUUCUCUGGCUGGUGUUUUUUUCUUUCUUUUUUUUUCCCCCUAAUGUUGAGCCUACACUAAAGUGAUCUACAGUUGCAAGAAAUUGGUGACAAUUGCAUAAACAUGUAGGAAAUGCUGUUAAUCAACUGGAGACGCAUUACGAUUGAAUAGAAACUGCGCAACAGAUGCAAUUAGACAGUAUUUUUGCAUGAGAUGGAUCUUUGGUAAUUUAUUGAUGUUAGUGGAAAUGUGAAUGAAUUCAAAGCGGAAGAUUUGGUUGUAGCAUAUCGUGCAAUGCAAUUAGAUGGGUUUUGGCUUUGAUAUUUGGGCAGUUGAUGCUUUAAAUGGGGGAUUUCAUGUCAGCCAUUCAUUAACAUUGGCAUUUUCUUAUUAUAUACAAUGUUUUCUAGAGCUCUUUCUUUGUGUGUAGUUACAAUCACUUUUGGCAGAGUGAAUCCUUCUGGAUGUUUGCAGUUUCACAAUGUCAAGAAAUAACUUUAUUUUGGAAUUUUUAUAUGUAUAAUUUGUAGUCAGGGAGUGCUACGUGUUCUAAAUCCCCAUGAUUGGAAUAUGAAAUGGAAUUAGGCUCAUGAUCUAGAGGAGUUAUGUAAAGCAGAAACUAAUGACUACGUUGUUAAUUUCCUCUACAAUUAAGGGAAAAUCCUUAUUAUGGGCAUUAGGCCGAUGGUAUGUUUACCUGCUUAGACAUGUGGACAGCUGGGUUUUAUGGACCGGGCGGAGACACCGAAACACUCAGUGGAGAGCAGGCCCCUUCCGUCAAUCUGCCAAUUCCAUACUUAUGGUUGGUUUGCCCAGUGGGAACAAAUUGUUAACUGUUAUAUCAUUAACACGAGGUAAUUACGCGCGGGAAUGCUUUUAUUUUCGUCUCAGACAAUCAAAAGUAAUUGUAAGAUUUUGGUAGGAAUUAUUUUGCCUCUUUUACAAUUCGGCAACAUUCAAAGGAAUCAGAUUCCAAAAGCUAUGAUAAAACCCAUGUUGGAAUUUAACCAAUAAAAAAAAAAAAGUGAAAGAUGGAACCUUUUAGAUAGGAAUGGCAAAUGAGAGCGG
Molecule: unclassified non-coding RNA, 1650 nt
Filed under: Hevea brasiliensis (rubber tree)
Lineage: Eukaryota; Viridiplantae; Streptophyta; Magnoliopsida; Malpighiales; Euphorbiaceae
Source: RNAcentral